AUGAUCUCAACUUCAUGAUAGAUAUGAUCUAUAUUGUAGAUACAAUUUAUGUUUUUGAUUUUAGAUUUCAGAUUAUGCAUGUUAUAUAAAAUCAUAAGAUCCUUGUUUAGGUAGUUUUUAGAUUAGAUCUAAUGUAUGCUAGAUUGAAAUGAUUAAUCUAGAUUCAUUUCAUUGUGUUAAGAUUCAAAAAAAAAUUAAAUUAUAUGCAUGAAACUACCUGCAAACUUUCAGUGAUAUCAGAGCC
Molecule: long non-coding RNA, 244 nt
Filed under: Elaeis guineensis (African oil palm)
Lineage: Eukaryota; Viridiplantae; Streptophyta; Magnoliopsida; Arecales; Arecaceae
Description: long non-coding RNA (EGUI_LNC010554)
Source: RNAcentral